Molecule: ribosomal RNA, 497 nt
Filed under: uncultured bacterium
Lineage: Bacteria
Description: partial 16S ribosomal RNA
Rfam family: Bacterial small subunit ribosomal RNA
Source: RNAcentral
GACGAACGCUGGCGGCGUGCCUAAUACAUGCAAGUCGAGCGCUUCAUUCUUCUCGUUUUCUUACACGGAUGUGCAGCGAGGAGUGGCGGACUGGUUGGUAACACGUGCGUAACCUAGCGAUCAGCAGGGGAUAACACUUGGUAACAGGGGAUAAAAACGCUUAACAGUUUAUGCCGCAUUGAAACAUAGUAAUAGACCAUUUAAAGAUUAGCCGGUGUUGUAUUAGCUAGUUGGUGAGGUAAAGGCUCACCAAGGGGAUGACACAUACCCGACCUGAGAGGGUGAUCGGCCAAAUUGGGACUGAGACACGGCCCAAACUCCUACGGGAGGCAGCAGUAGGGAAUCUUCGGCAAUGGAAGAAAGUCUGACCGAGCAACGCCGCGUGAGUGAAGAAGGUUUUCGGAUCGUAAAACUCUGUUGGUAGAGAAGAACGUUGGUGAGAGUGGAAAGCUCAUCAAGUGACGGUAACUACCCAGAAAGGGACGGCUAACUACGUG